This 834-nucleotide ribosomal RNA is filed under the name Amanita ochracea. RNAcentral's name for it is "eukaryotic LSU rRNA". It matches the Rfam family "Eukaryotic large subunit ribosomal RNA", at positions 92 to 913 of the family's 3401-position model. The record is from RNAcentral. Lineage: Eukaryota; Fungi; Basidiomycota; Agaricomycetes; Agaricales; Amanitaceae.
AGUGAAGCGGGAAAAGCUCAAAUUUAAAAUCUGGCAGUGGUUCACUGCCCGAGUUGUAAUCUAGAGAAGUGUUGCUCACACUGGACCAUGUAUAAGUCUUCUGGAAUGAAGCGUCAUAGAGGGUGAGAAUCCCGUCUUUGACAUGGACUCCCAGUGUAUUUGUAGCAUGCUCUCAAAGAGUCGAGUUGUUUGGGAAUGCAGCUCUAAAUGGGUGGUAACCUCCAUCUAAAGCUAAAUAUUGGCGAGAGACCGAUAGUGAACAAGUACCGUGAGGGAAAGAUGAAAAGAACUUUGGAAAGAGAGUUAAAAAGUACGUGAAAUUGUUGAAAGGGAAACGCUUGAAGUCAGUCACAUUGGCCAGGGAUCAACUUGCUUAAGUGUACUUCCUGGCUGAUGGGCCAACAUCAGCUUUGACUGUCAGAGAAGGGUAGGGGGAAUGUGGCACCCUUCUUGGGUGUGUUAUAGCCCUCUGUCAUAUAUGGCCGUUGGGGCUGAGGAAUGCAGCGCGCCACAAGGCCGGGCUUCGACCACGUUCGCGCUUAGGAUGUUGGCAUAAUGGCUUUAAUCGACCCGUCUUGAAACACGGACCAAGGAGUCUAACAUGCCUGCGAGUGUUUGGGUGGAAAACCCGAGUGCAUAAUGAAAGUGAAAGUUGAGAUCCCUGUCAUGGGGUGCAUCGACGCCCGGACCUGAGCUUUCUAGCAAUGGCUCUGCGGUAUAGCAUGUAUGUUGGGACCCGAAAGAUGGUGAACUAUGCCUGAAUAGGGCGAAGCCAGAGGAAACUCUGGUGGAGGCUCGUAGCGAUUCUGACGUGCAAAUCGAUCGUCGAAUUUG